Molecule: long non-coding RNA, 275 nt
Filed under: Helianthus annuus (common sunflower)
Lineage: Eukaryota; Viridiplantae; Streptophyta; Magnoliopsida; Asterales; Asteraceae
Description: hypothetical non coding rna
Source: RNAcentral
GGCCUAUUGAUGCUGCCACCCCAGUUUGUGGAGGAAUUACAGAAGUAAAGGACUUUGCAAACAACCUUGUGAUCGACGAUCUCGCUCGAUUCGCCGUCGAUGAACACAACAAGAAGCAGAAUACCCUGCUGGAAUUUGGUAAGGUACUGGAUGCAAAGGAGCAGUUAGUAGCUGGUACAUUGUAUUUUAUCACACUUGAAGCAACUGAUGGUGGUGUCAAAAAGACUUACGAAGCCAAGGUUUGGGUUAAGGAAUGGGAAAACUUCAAAGAAUUG